UAAAUUGCUUUUCCUCGAUAGUUAACUGCAGCCGGUUUUAUUUUUCUUCGGCAGUUAACUACUGAGGGAUAU
This is a microRNA precursor of Medicago truncatula (barrel medic), 72 nucleotides long. It matches the Rfam family "MIR2629 microRNA precursor family". The record is from Rfam. Lineage: Eukaryota; Viridiplantae; Streptophyta; Magnoliopsida; Fabales; Fabaceae.